UGGCACCCAGCGUGGGGGCUCUUGGCACGGAGGAGUCAACGAGGGAGCCGUUCGAGAAUGCCAGCUAAAAGUGGAAGCAAAUUGAAUCAAGGACCAAGGCUAAAAGUGAAAGCACAUUAAAUCAAGGACUGAGGCCUGCGUGGUCGACCACCUGGCGUGCCGCCCGAGUCACGGUGAGUGAAUGGCAACCCCAUUCCAUUUCCCGGACAUGGGUCAAGCAUUGAGUGAACAUAAAUUGUUUGUGGGAGGCCUUAGCAAGGCAUUAAAGACAAGAGGAGUAAGGGUUAGAAUAAAAGAAUUGUUGCAGUAUUUUCAGUUUAUCCAUAAGGUUUGCCCUU
Molecule: regulatory RNA element, 338 nt
Organism: Cavia porcellus (domestic guinea pig)
Lineage: Eukaryota; Metazoa; Chordata; Mammalia; Rodentia; Caviidae
Rfam family: Mason-Pfizer monkey virus packaging signal
About the family: The packaging signal is located in the 5' UTR and is required for specific RNA encapsidation.
Source: Rfam